This 301-nucleotide ribosomal RNA is filed under the name uncultured bacterium. RNAcentral describes it as "partial 16S ribosomal RNA". It matches the Rfam family "Bacterial small subunit ribosomal RNA", at positions 509 to 807 of the family's 1533-position model. The record is from RNAcentral.
CAGUAGCCACGGUAAUACGAAGGGUGCAAGCGUUACUCGGAAUUACUGGGCGUAAAGCGUGCGUAGGUGGUGGUUUAAGUCCGUUGUGAAAGCCCUGGGCUCAACCUGGGAAUUGCAGUGGAUACUGGGUCACUAGAGUGUGGUAGAGGAUAGUGGAAUUUCCGGUGUAGCAGUGAAAUGCGUAGAGAUCGGAAGGAACAUCUGUAGCGAAGGCGACUAUCUGGGCCAACACUGACACUGAGACACGAAAGCGUGGGGAGCAAACAGGAUUAGAUACCCGAGUAGUCCCUGUCUCUUAUAC